GGAAUACAGCCAGCCUGCGCACACAAGGCCAUCCCCAGAGCUCACAUCACUUUCGUCAUUGACUGUGCAACUGGGAAACGAGUCUCCCUGGCAGCACCCGCGGUGCCACCCCAAGCCUCAAGAACCAACCAGGGAUGUGUCACCCCACCCAUGAAGACCUUUGUUAUGUUCUGUGGGAAAACACCACUGCCUGGGACUCAGGACGUUUCCCUCGGUCUCGGACCCCUUGAUGGAGCCAAGGAUACCUUGCCACCUUAUGGAGGACUUGGGGCUCCAGAUUCCCUCCCUACCAGCCUACCCGGUCCCCAGAAUGAUCCUAAAGCCAAGACAGGCACUACUGAAAAGCGUUUGACUCGGGAGAAGGUCAAGCACUCACUGAGGGCUCUGGCCUGUCUCUGCGGGCAGGUGGAGUAGUUUGGUGGGAUCUGUCAGGGGUGGGGGCAGGGAGUGGCUGGGAAUUUGGGAGUCUUUGGGGCCUGAAGCCAAGGAGACAUUACUAGAUGCAGCAAAGGACUUAAGAGCCAGUUAGGCCUCUGUCCUUUUCCUUCUCCUGUGCCUCGCUCUCAGCUGGGGCCAGGCCUGAUACCAACGUGCUGCGGCCUGUCACGGUUUUCUCGAAGCUUGGAAGGGGAGAAGGGUUGAACAAGUGACCAAAUAAAUAAAAGUUGUGGGUUUUGAGCAG
This 682-nucleotide long non-coding RNA is filed under the name Rattus norvegicus (Norway rat). Its description in RNAcentral is "long non-coding RNA NONRATT023787". Lineage: Eukaryota; Metazoa; Chordata; Mammalia; Rodentia; Muridae. The record is from RNAcentral.